GACGAACGCUGGCGGCGUGCUUAACACAUGCAAGUCGAACGGACAGGCCCUGCUUUUGUGGGUUGCUCGUGUGGCGAACGGGUGAGUAACACGUGAGUAACCUGCCCUUGACUUUGGGAUAACUUCAGGAAACUGGGGCUAAUACCGGAUAGGAGCUCCUGCUGCAUGGUGGGGGUUGGAAAGUUUCGGCGGUUGGGGAUGGACUCGCGGCUUAUCAGCUUGUUGGUGUGGUAGUGGCUUACCAAGGCUUUGACGGGUAGCCGGCCUGAGAGGGUGACCGGCCACAUGGGGACUGAGAGACGGCCCAGACUCCUACGGGAGGCAGCAGGGGGGAAUAUUGCACAAUGGGCGGAAGCCUGAUGCAGCAACGCCGCGUGCGGGAUGACGGCCUUCGGGUUGUAAACCGCUUUCGCCUGUGACGAAGCGUGAGUGACGGUAAUGGGUAAAGAAGCACCGGCUAACUACGUG
RNAcentral lists this ribosomal RNA (468 nucleotides) under uncultured bacterium. RNAcentral describes it as "partial 16S ribosomal RNA". It matches the Rfam family "Bacterial small subunit ribosomal RNA", at positions 28 to 507 of the family's 1533-position model. The record is from RNAcentral.